CACGUAGUUAGCCGGGGCUUCCUCCAAGGGUACCGUCAUUAUCUUCCCCAAGGACAGAAGUUUACGAUCCGAAGACCUUCUUCCUUCACGCGGCGUUGCUGCAUCAGGCUUUCGCCCAUUGUGCAAUAUUCCCCACUGCUGCCUCCCGUAGGAGUUUGGACCGUGUCUCAGUUCCAAUGUGGCCGAUCACCCUCUCAGGUCGGCUACUGAUCGUCGCCUUGGUAGGCCGUUACCCCACCAACUAGCUAAUCAGACGCAGGCCCAUCCUUUGCCGAUAAAUCUUUGACCAAACAGCCAUGUGACUAUUUAGUAUUAUGAGGUUUUAAUCAUCGUUUCCAAUGGCUAUCCCUCUGCAAAGGGCAGGUUGCCUACGCGUUACUCACCCGUCCGCCGCUCUCCAUCUUAAAAAUCUACCGAAGCUUCAUUUUAAAAUUUCCCGCUCGACUUGCAUGUGUUAGGCACGCCGCCAGCGUUCAUCCUGAGCCAGGAUCAAACUCU
Molecule: ribosomal RNA, 498 nt
Filed under: uncultured Anaerovorax sp.
Lineage: Bacteria; Bacillati; Bacillota; Clostridia; Peptostreptococcales; Anaerovoracaceae
Description: partial 16S ribosomal RNA
Source: RNAcentral